UACGUAGGGUGCAAGCGUUGUCCGGAAUUAUUGGGCGUAAAGAGCUCGUAGGCGGUUUGUCGCGUCUGCUGUGAAAUCCCAGGGCUUAACCCUGGGCCUGCAGUGGGUACGGGCAAACUAGAGUGCGGUAGGGGAGAUCGGAAUUCCUGGUGUAGCGGUGAAAUGCGCAGAUAUCGGGAGGAACACCGGUGGCGAAGGCGGUUCUCUGGGCCUGUACUGACGCUGAGGAGCGAAAGCGUGGGGAGCGAACAGG
RNAcentral lists this ribosomal RNA (253 nucleotides) under uncultured bacterium. RNAcentral describes it as "partial 16S ribosomal RNA". It matches the Rfam family "Bacterial small subunit ribosomal RNA", at positions 524 to 776 of the family's 1533-position model. The record is from RNAcentral.